RNAcentral lists this ribosomal RNA (253 nucleotides) under uncultured bacterium. Its description in RNAcentral is "partial 16S ribosomal RNA". It matches the Rfam family "Bacterial small subunit ribosomal RNA", at positions 524 to 776 of the family's 1533-position model. The record is from RNAcentral.
UACGUAGGUGACCAGCGUUGUCCGGAUUUACUGGGCGUAAAGAGCGCGCAGGCGGUCGUUCAAGUCGAGUGUGAAAGCCCCCGGCUCAACUGGGGAGGGUCACUCGAUACUGAUCGACUUGAAGGCAGGAGAGGGAAGCGGAAUUCCCGGUGUAGUGGUGAAAUGCGUAGAUAUCGGGAGGAACACCAAUGGCGAAGGCAGCUCGCUGGGACGGUACUGACGCUGAGACGCGAAAGCGUGGGGAGCAAACAGG